AUUGCCCUACGGGAGGCAGCAGUGAGGAAUAUUGGUCAAUGGACGAGAGUCUGAACCAGCCAAGUAGCGUGAAGGAUGACUGCCCUAUGGGUUGUAAACUUCUUUUAUAAAGGAAUAAAACGAGGCACGCGUGCCUUUUUGCAUGUACUUUAUGAAUAAGGAUCGGCUAACUCCGUGCCAGCAGCCGCGGUAAUACGGAGGAUCCGAGCGUUAUCCGGAUUUAUUGGGUUUAAAGGGUGCGUAGGCGGAAUAUCAAGUCAGCGGUAAAAAUUCGGGGCUCAACCCCGUCGUGCCGUU
This 297-nucleotide ribosomal RNA is filed under the name uncultured bacterium. RNAcentral describes it as "partial 16S ribosomal RNA". It matches the Rfam family "Bacterial small subunit ribosomal RNA", at positions 333 to 628 of the family's 1533-position model. The record is from RNAcentral.